UUCUUUAGUAAUGAUUAUAUCAUUUUAUGGUUAGUUUAAAAUAAGAAAACCGUGCUCUGAUCAGUGAUAAUGCAGGGAGAGGAAUUGCUGAAAGCCAUUUCCCGUGUUUGGAGGGUCCAGCCUGUCCCUCUCAAAUGCUGGUACUUUCACACA
This 153-nucleotide small nucleolar RNA is filed under the name Sciurus vulgaris (Eurasian red squirrel). Its description in RNAcentral is "Small nucleolar RNA SNORA71 (ENSSVLG00005001667.1)". It matches the Rfam family "Small nucleolar RNA SNORA71", at positions 27 to 134 of the family's 134-position model. From Rfam's summary of the family: The members of this family belong to the H/ACA class of snoRNAs which bind a number of proteins (including dyskerin, Gar1p and Nop10p) to form snoRNP complexes. This class of snoRNAs are thought to guide the sites of modification of uridines to pseudouridines by forming direct base pairing interactions with substrate RNAs. The record is from Rfam by way of RNAcentral. Lineage: Eukaryota; Metazoa; Chordata; Mammalia; Rodentia; Sciuridae.